RNAcentral lists this ribosomal RNA (445 nucleotides) under Fragilariopsis kerguelensis. RNAcentral describes it as "partial Bacterial large subunit ribosomal RNA". It matches the Rfam family "Bacterial large subunit ribosomal RNA", at positions 185 to 686 of the family's 2925-position model. Lineage: Eukaryota; Bacillariophyta; Bacillariophyceae; Bacillariales; Bacillariaceae. The record is from RNAcentral.
CUGGGGAACUGAAACAUCUAAGUACCCAGAGGAAAGGACAUCAACCGAGACUCCGUUAGUAGUGGCGAGCGAACGCGGACCAGGCCAGUGGCUUAUUUUAAUAAACCGGAACCAUCUGGAAAGUUGGGCAAGAAUGGGUGAUAGCCCCGUACGGAUAACAUUGAGAUAAGUCCUCGAGUAGGGCGGAACACGUGAAAUUCUGUCUGAACAUGGGGGGACCACCCUCCAAGCCUAAAUACUCGUAUGUGACCGAUAGUGAACAAGUACCGUGAGGGAAAGGUGAAAAGCACCCCGACAAGGGGAGUGAAAGAGUUCCUGAAACCGGAUGCUUACAAACAGUUGGAGGGCGCAGGCCUGACAGCGUACCUUUUGUAUAAUGGGUCAGCGACUUAUGUUCAGUGGCGAGGUUAACCGUUUAGGGGAGCCGUAGGGAAACCGAGUCUUA